AAUUCUUUCAUCUGUAAUAAAAUGAUCAGCGUUGCUGCUUUACCAGGAUAGCUGGAAACAGGAUAAGCUGUAGGGCCAUCCUGCCAUGACUUCCGCUCUGCCUUAAGAACUCUAAGAGUUAAGCUGUGUAAUAUGUCAGAAAAUUCCCCAACAGAUUUUCAUUUGGUCCUCAUAAUAACAUCAGCGACCCGCCAGCCAAUGAUCCGCCCAGUGUAAGUUUGGAGGUCACGUAAGUUUGGUCACGCUAUUGGAGAUUACAGCAGUAUCUCCAGACAAAUAAAAUAUACAGGAUUAUGUAGUACAUACAGUACAAAUGAAAAUACAUAUGUGCUCUCUCAUACUGAUUAUUAUUGUUGGAUAAAACCCUGAGGGACACAUCGGAUCUUUAUACAGCAUUGACUGAAUUCUCUGAAGAGACGGACAGAUUUCUAAUGUAAUCAAGAUCGUGGGUUUUUCACUGAUCCCACUGGCUAAAGCCCUUUGAGGAAGGAUAUGUGUGUUAGCAGCAAAUUCAGUAAAUGCACAAUGCUGUUUUACAUGGAAUCAAAUAUAUUCUGACAUGUGACACUCAGGUAAUAAAUGCAUUUAAAUCAUGUAGGUCUAGAUCUCUUCACAGAUCUCUGCGGCAGCAGACAAACAUGUAAGUAAAUGUGGAAACUUUUGAUUAGCUGUUUUUAUUUCUUCAGAAAGUUGGAAUGAUCGUAUAGCUGUUGGUAUUUGGAAGCUCUGCACACUGACUCACCUGCAGUAAUACAUAAACCAAAAUGUGCAACGAUAUUAUACAUCUUUAUGAAUACAGUGUCCCCCCAAAAAAGCCUCCUCUUCAUUUAUUUUAAAUGUACUAUGACACAGUGAGGACUUUGAGGCAGAUUCUUAGACAGAUAAAGAGAUGGACGUCAAAUCAAGCAAAGAUUUUACUGACAUACAAUUCAUUAUCAGUGCACUGAUCUGACAAAUCAAAUAUGUAAGAAGAUACAAAGAGGGGACUUUGUAAAUAAACUUGCUACAGGUCUAGAUAUGUCCAUGUUGCCACGACAGUGAGAAUUAAUGACAUCAUAAAUUCUUGAGCUGCUAUUUAACAAUAUGACAGAGCAGUUUUUCUAGAAGCAGAACAGCAGUCUCCUAGGCUGAAAAAUGACAAUGUGAAAAAAAAUUAAUUUCAGUGAGUCACUCCCAAAAGACUGCCAUGUUAUUUCCCUUUAUUUAACCAGGAAGUCCCACUGAGAUCAAAUCACGUUACAAGGGCUAGCCAAAGUACAAGCCAUACUACCUCAAAGUAUUAAAAGUGCAGCAAAUACAACACAAAAUACAAGAUCUACAAAUAGCCACAACAAAACAACACUACUGUCCUCUCAAGAAAAACAUCAUGCCACACAUGUCUGCUUUACCACGGUCCUCAUUACACCUGUACAUCCAACAGCACAUAUUUAGAGUAAAGAGUUUAAGGGCUUCCUGAAAAUUAUUCCAUGUCCAAGGUCUGUAUGAAAAUGCCUUUCCCCCCUGAUCUGUCAGAAAACUCGGCACAUUGAAAGCAGCUGUUUGGAGUAACACAGCUGGAAACUGUUGGACCUGCAACAGAGAAGGUUGCAAAGGUAAACUUUAUGUAGCAGCAACGCAGACACUUGGCAUGUGUCAAAAAUGUAGAGAUGCAUUAUACACCGAAUAAAGACUGAAUGUUUACCGUCAUAAUCAAGCACAGGCGCAAAGCUGGUUCCACAUGUUUUUUUUAAGAGAAGAAAAAAAACAAUAUGAAAACAUUCAACUUUACUUACAGUUUGACAUCAGUACCUAAUAUUCUAAUUUUUACCUGCCAUACAGGGCAGAGGGUUUUUUAAGUGUUUGAAGACUUUUAUUAUGGAAAAUUUUAUUUAGAACAAGGCAGUUAAAAGGCACUGAAGUGAGGUAUGUGAGACAGUUUGUACAGUACUGGGAAAUAUUUAUUUGCCAGACCUUCAGUACGCGGCGUCUGGUUCAUACCAAGUUAUUUUUCAUUUUGUCUUUUGAUAUGAAAUCAGAAAAUGACCCAUUGCUCUCUAAACAUCUCAUUUUUCAAACUAAGCCUUCCCAACAUCUUCUCACAGGCAACAGGGGUCUUCAAGGAAAGACGUCCAGACGCUUUUCUUUCCAAGCUGCAGAGACUACGAUGACCUGGAUGGCUGAGAACCUUCACAGACACAGGCAACAAUGUUCAUCAUCUGUUCAGGCUACAGCUUCAGUGUCCAGGUUUGAGAUUCUUUGAGAGAAAACUUAAAAAUGAGUCUAGCACAAGUCACUAACCCAUCCAUCAAUGGUGUUGCUACAUACUAAAUCAGCUGUGGUAGGACACCCCUGUCGCCAAGGAGACACAGUCUUGGUGACCUGGGCAAAUCCCACUUCAAUCGUUGGCCUGUAUAAUUCAGAACAUCUCUUCAAAAAUGAGAAAACUUCCCCUAGUGCAUGCACAUUCAUCUCUCUUUCUGUAUGAAAUUGAUUAAAGUUAUGCCUGAUUAAAGGUGUAGCCACAGGUUGAUGCCAGUACAGGCAGCUAUCUGCAAGACGUCUUGAUGCAUGCUCAAUCAUCAAUCAAACGCUAUGUCCAGAUGAACAGAAUCAACCUUUUAGGUCAAUCUGCAAGACUUAACUUCAGUGAAUAACUUCACUGCGCCGAUCUCCUGUUCUUGUUGGUUUAGGGUUGCAGGGGUGGGGGAUGUUUGGGGCAUCCUGGAAAGGUCAUGAGUCUUUCACUGGGCUAUCACAUAGAGAUAGACAAUCAGAAUCACCAAUUAACCAAACCGCACUAAAUGCAUGCCUUUGGACUGUGGGAGGAAGGUGGAGCAUCAGGAGAGAACCCACGCAGACACGGGAAGAACAUGCAAACUCCACACAGAAAGACCCCGGACAGAAGGUGGAGUCAAACUCAAGACCUUGCUGAGAGGCCUCAAUUUAUCACUGUGCCACCUUACUGCCCUUAUUUAUUUAUUUUUACUUAUUCUUCAAGAGUCCACAAACCACUAGCUGACUUAAGAAGGGCAGCAGUCUUUGCUCCAAACACCAAACACAUGACCCUAUUUUACAUGUAAUAGACACGUUUGCUACUAAUAAAGUGAAAAUUCUCAACCAACAGAGCCCCGCAUUUACAAAAAAAAUCCAAAAUAUAUAAAAUGUGUGAAAGAAAAAAAAUCGUAUAGUUAAAUCAAAGACUAAAACUCAAUGUGAUGUUUUUGAAAUGUUACACAUGGCACCUGAAAACAAUACCUGGUGUCAUUUUUUCUUGCUGUUUACUGCUGUUACAGUGCUGACAGUUAUCAUUAGCUUCAAAACAAAGAAUAGAUGAGACUGAGCGAUGCUGAUGGUGUCAGAGCUUGACAGGUUUUGUAGCCUGGACUGAAGGGCUGAUAUCAGUGACUGUGUUUCUUUCCAGCAGAGAAGGGGGGGGUAUUAGAAGGAGGCAGUGCAGGGUUGUAGAUGAGGCCAACCUUCGCCCAAGGCCUUGCUCAGGUGAGGACAUGUCAAGGAAAUCUUAAGCUGGAGCUAGAUUUCUUCACGGCAGAGCCACACAGGCCCCCAGGGGCCACUCUCACUUCAUUUUAACGUCAUUCACUUUCAUCCGUCCAGGCGAGUGAGAUGAUGGAGGCUGUUCCAGCCAACUGUCCGAACAGGAUUUGGGAGAAGUGCAAGUCAAUGAGGAAGAGGCGAUACUAGUGAGAGCGAUACACGGAGGGUUCAGGAAUGAUUUUUGCUGGUGCCGAUUGCUUUAAAUCAGAAGAGAAAAAAGCAUUGUAAUUGUAAUUCAUCUAUCAUAGGCACAGAAACAGCAGUCUCUAAAGCUCUUUCAUUAACCUCACUAAAUUCUUGGUUGUUUAAAUAUUGCCUGGGUGGCGGUGACUCAGAUGGCAAAGCGGGUCGUCUAUUAUCUGAUCCCUGGCACAGACACAUGCCGAAGGCGCCUCGCAUGGCAGCUCUGCCACCUUUGGUGUGUGAGUGUGUGUGAAUGAGAAACAAACUGCAAAAACAUUUACAGUAAUUACACAAACAAAAAUGUAAAUGUGAUUCUGAUUUUAGGGACAGUAUGUAUUUUGAUGCAUUUCCAAAGCCAUACUCUGUCCAUCUACUAUACUGUAGCAGGUUUUUGAGUUAUUAAUAAGUAGUAACUUAAUAGUCAAAUGUUUAAACAAUUAAAUUAUAAGUAGUUUUUAGUAAUCACUUGGAAGUUUUUCAAUUAGUGUUUAUUCUUGUCAGUUUAUUUCUGCAUAUUUUUUGAAUUCCAUACAGUAUAUAUUGCACAAUACUGGAAAAAACGACUUUUUAUCCUGUGUCACAUGUUUGUUUAUGAUAAUAAAAUGUUUCUCAGUUUGCCUUCAUCUAGCAAGGACCUCCAACUUGCACUGGGGAAUUUGUGGCCAAGACUAAAGCAGCUGAAAAGGGUGGAUGAGAGUUCAAGGAGGAGUUCUGUUAAUUUACUGGUCAGACUAUGUUCCUGUAGAGCGGUUACUCCUCCACAUUGAAAGGAGCCAGUUCAGGUGGUUUAGGCAUCUUACCAGAACGCCUCCUGGUCACCUGGUAGGUGAGGUGUUUUGGCAUAUCCAACAGGAAGAAAACCCCAGGCAUGACCUGGGACGUGCUGGACAGAUAAUGUCUCUUGGUUGCUUGGAAAUGACUCGCUGUGCUCUCAGAACAGCUGGAGAAGGUGGCUGCAGCAAAGGAGGUGCGGCCAUCUCUGCUUAUACUGCUGCCUCCAUGACCCGGGCCGUAUGGAUGGAUGGAUGAUGAAAUAUUGCCUGUGCUUUAUGAUAAAUGUUUUGUUGAUGAUUACACCCUGUGAGUGAGAACGUGUGCACUAAAGCCUAAACCAUUUAACGAAACCUGCUGCAGUGUCAGCAACUCACGCGGUGUUGGUUUAGUGAUAUGUGUGACUCACUUAAUGUUUUAUGAACUAAAACAAUUGCUUUUUACAAACUUCACCAUUUUUGGGGCCUAUACCAAAAACAACUGUAAAGGUGAAACUUAAUAGGGGAUAAAGAGGAAACAACCUAUGGGCUCCAUGGUGCCUCCAAGUGUUAUUAACAUCAGUAAAAACUUAAAAAACAGUAAAAACGUUUA
Molecule: long non-coding RNA, 5079 nt
Organism: Oreochromis niloticus (Nile tilapia)
Lineage: Eukaryota; Metazoa; Chordata; Actinopteri; Cichliformes; Cichlidae
Exons: 3
Source: RefSeq, a predicted model, not a curated record